AUACAAUAUCCCUCCACCCUCCCCCAUAAAUGGAUAAUCCAGCCUUCAAUUAUGCAGAACCCAGCAAGUCUUAGACGUGUAAUCCAUCAGGAUUUGAUUUACAAACACAGAAAAAUUCCUGACUCCAUUUGCCCUGGUUUGAACUAGGUUUGAUAACUUAGUUAUGACUGUCUUCUUCACUCUGUGGCACACAUCACACAGUUAUUCUUGGAGAGGUGCAGGCGCUGACGCAACCAUGAACCACUAAUUACAAGCUGCUGACAUUCUGCUUGUCUAUGCAGCUUUGAAGUUCUAAAGUCUGUUUUUCUCUCUGAUGGGCUUGCUCAAUUGCAUUCAUCUCCAUUGUACGCUUAGCAUCUGAAGCCUGUGGUAGCCAGCUGGUCUCAAAGUCAUCUGGGAUACAUUUAUUUUGAUUAAAUUGAUCAGAUUUCUAUUUACUGGAUAGAAUUUUUCAUCAUACUGAAUACAGCUGUGUUUACAGGGGAUCUGUCGAAGAAGAAGCAAACAAAACCCUACAGUCAGUCCGAGCGAAGCACAGAGCAUUCAGAACUUCAAGGAGUUAAAGCUGAGGAGGGUUGCUUUCACAUUAACAAGAAAAUUCUGCAUGCAGCUGCUUUGGCCAUGCUCUCUAGCUAGUCAGGAAAUGGGUGUUGAGCUGAAGCUGAAAAUACAAGCUGCAAUCAAGCCCGAUCCAGCCAAGUGACAGACUUCCUGUGUAAACUGGUCAGAAAUCGCCCUCUUUUCAUGUCUCUACAUGCAUGCACAUGCAUUUAAAUCCAUGCUGCAAGGCUGAUCUUCUCCCUGGGGACACUGGUACAGUCACCUAGCUCAUCAGUUUCUUCCUUGACAGCACCGGGGACAUCCAGACUACAAUUUACAGUUCUUCCACCCAUAGACUGGGUUAUAAAUUAUGCCUUCCUCCCUAGAAUGAGAAUGCAGGGCCAGCGGCAGACAAUCGAACGGCAUUCCGCCUCUCCUCUUUCUUCUCAGGCGCUCCCUCGCUCUGCCUUUCUCCAACUGUGCCUCGUCGGCAGGCAGGCAGACACAUCAGAGACCAGGUUUAUCCAUCUUCAGCUCCACUCUCAAGUAAAAUGCCACCACAUCUCGCCAUGGGUCUUUCCUCCCAGACUAAUCCCCAAGAGCAGCCUGAGCUGGGUGCGCCGUGGGGAAGACCAGUGGGCAUUGGACGGAUCAAAUUCCUAACUUCUCCUGCCCGGUCCUUGGCGUUCUUUCUAUCCAUCCCACCCCGGGUCUUCUCCCGCAUCACCCUGUCCUCCGAGUCCCCUCGCCUGCCUGCGAGGGGACCCCGGCCAGAGCUCCACCAGCAGGUCCUUGUUCUGCGCUGCGUAGACCGAUGAUGCUGGGUUCCCGUGCGCCAUGAAGAAGCCGAAGCCGGGAGACAGCAACAGCAGCUCAGGUAACCAGGAGAAGCUUGGCGUGCCCACAGCGAUGCAGCCCUGGAGC
Bos taurus (domestic cattle) is the source of this 1464-nucleotide long non-coding RNA. The record is from Ensembl. Lineage: Eukaryota; Metazoa; Chordata; Mammalia; Artiodactyla; Bovidae.